RNAcentral lists this ribosomal RNA (253 nucleotides) under uncultured bacterium. RNAcentral's name for it is "partial 16S ribosomal RNA". It matches the Rfam family "Bacterial small subunit ribosomal RNA", at positions 524 to 776 of the family's 1533-position model. The record is from RNAcentral.
UACGUAGGGCGCAAGCGUUGUCCGGAAUUAUUGGGCGUAAAGAGCUCGUAGGUGGCUUGUCGCGUCUGCCGUGAAAGCCCAUGGCUUAACUGUGGGUCUGCGGUGGAUACGGGCUGGCUAGAGGUAGGUAGGGGCAAGCGGAAUUCCUGGUGUAGCGGUGAAAUGCGUAGAUAUCGCUUGGAACGCCAAAGGUGAAAACAGGUUGCUGGGGUUGUGCCGACGCUGAGACACGAAAGCCAGGGGAGCAAACGGG